Molecule: transfer RNA, 87 nt
Filed under: Escherichia coli
Lineage: Bacteria; Pseudomonadati; Pseudomonadota; Gammaproteobacteria; Enterobacterales; Enterobacteriaceae
Also listed under: 3 other names
Description: tRNA-Leu
Rfam family: tRNA
About the family: Transfer RNA (tRNA) molecules are approximately 80 nucleotides in length.
Source: RNAcentral
GCCCGGAUGGUGGAAUCGGUAGACACAAGGGAUUUAAAAUCCCUCGGCGUUCGCGCUGUGCGGGUUCAAAUCCCGCUCCGGGUACCA